This 1847-nucleotide long non-coding RNA is filed under the name Homo sapiens (human). Its description in RNAcentral is "non-protein coding lnc-TRIM13-7:3". Lineage: Eukaryota; Metazoa; Chordata; Mammalia; Primates; Hominidae. The record is from RNAcentral.
AGGGGAAUUUUUCAGGUUCCUGGUUCUCUUUCUAUAAAUGGUGUUUUCAUUACAAUACUAAGGGAAAGUUUUGUACGUUGAAAUUAAGUUACCAUAGAAUUUAAUAACCAAGGUGAUUAUUAAACUGAUUGAGGGUUGGUCUUUUCCCCCAUUGCGUAUGCAGUACUUUCUUGGUAAUCAUUUCACACAAGAAAUUUUCUUUUAUGACAAACCUUCAUCGUUAUGCUGGGAAUUAAGUGCUUUGAUUUUUUUUUUUUUUUUUUUUUUUAACCCCAGGGAAGUGCUGGGGGCGGGGCAGGGGGUGAGAAUUUUAACAGAAUAUUGGAGAGACAAAAUUUUUCUACCGUUCAUAUAUAUAUAUCUAGUUGAAUUAUUUCAAGAUUUCAAGGUCAGUAUUGUCCCCAUUUUAUAGGUGAAGAAAUAGGCCUAGAGGUACUAAACUUUACAACUUCAGGUGAGCAGGAGAUAAACAGGUAGGAUUCAAGGCUUACCAGUCUGAUUCCUGUUAGAAGAAAAACUUCAGCUGAACUAAAUUUAAAGGAGUUAAACUGAGCAGUGAAUGACUGGGCAGCCCCCAGAAUCACAGCAGAUUCAGAGAGACUCCAGGGAUGCCUCGUGGUCAGAACAAAUUUUUAGACAAAAAGAGGGAAGUGACGUACAGAAAUCAGCAGUGAGAUACAGAAACAGCUGCAUUGGUUACAGGGGGGCGUUUGCCUUAUUUGAACACAGUUUGAACAAUCAGCAGUGUAUGACUGGUUGAAGUAUGGCCGCUGGGAUUGGCCAAGACUCAGCUAUUGUUACAGGUGCAUACUCCUAAAUUAGGUUUUCAAGCUUGUCUGCCUAUUAACCUAGGUUACAGUUCGUACACAAGGACUCAAAUACAGAAGUACAGAGUCCUUCUCAGGCCAUAUUUAGUUUGCUUUAACACUGCCUCUCAAAUUCUUUCUCUUAUAAUUAAUGCUAUAAUCCUCUUAAACAUGCUCUCAGUUCAAAAUGCAGAUUUGCCCUUUUUUGUGUGUUUCAUUUAUCUCCACAUUGGAUAUAAGCUGCCAUAAUGCAUGUAUAGACAAAAUAUAAUAGAAUUAGUUGUUAUAAAGUAAAAAUUUUGUUCAGAAAUAUUAUUAAAAGAAGUACAUGUAUUAUAUAUGUAAUAAACAUUUAGGCCAUUCAAGUCAGUCACAUCUUCAAUGAAAAGCCAGACACUAAAUGGCCGUGAAUUGGACAUUACUAUAGAGAGGCAGAAGGGCCAUAGUCUUUCCUAGCUGGAAAAGUAAUUUGCUGGGAUCUGCCCACCUUGGCCUCCCAAAGUCCUGGGAUUACAGGUGUAAGUUGCCAUGCCUGGCCUGCAAAAUAAACUUUCUAAAAUGACAGAGUCCUAGCCAGAGCAAUCAGACAAGAGAAAGAAAUAAAGGGCAUCCAAAUUGGUAAAGAGGAAGUCAAACUAUCACUGUUUGCUGAUGAUCGUAUGCCUAGAAAACCCUAAAGACUCAUCCAAAGAGCUCCUUCAGCAAAGUUUCAGGAUACAAAAUUAAUGUACACAAAUCAGUAGCUAUACACCAACAGCGACCAAGCUGAGAAUCAAAUCAAGAACUCAACCCCUUUUAUAAUAGCUGCAAAAAAAUCACAUACCUAAGAAUAUACUUAACCAAAGAGGUGAAAGACCUCUACAAGGAAAACUACAAAACACUGCUGAAAGAAAUCAUGGAUGACACAAACAAAUGGAAACACAUCCCAUGCUCAUGGAUGUGUGGAAUAUUGGGAAAAUGACCAUAGUGCCAAAAGCAAUCUACAAAUUCAAUGCAAUUCCCAUUAAUACCACCAUCCUUCUUCACAGAACUAGAAAAAAC